Molecule: non-coding RNA, 500 nt
Organism: Etheostoma cragini (Arkansas darter)
Lineage: Eukaryota; Metazoa; Chordata; Actinopteri; Perciformes; Percidae
Source: the annotation of a RefSeq genome assembly
CAAAAAAAGGAGGAGUCAAUGCAAAACUCAGAUAUCUUCCACCUCUACUUAUCUGAGUGCAGAGAGGAGGACAGAGAACAGUGGACACACAGUUUAACAUGAUGGACUAUAGGACAGGAUUGCUGCUUUUAACUAUCUGCUGGGCAGGUGUUGAUGGUCAAACUCUGACAGAAUCGGAACCAACAGUUAAAAAACCUGGAGAAUCCCACAGAUUGACCUGUACAACAUCUGGAUUCACAUUCAGUGAACACAGCAUGCACUGGGUCAGACAGGCUCCUGGAAAAGGACUGGAAUGGGUUGCCUAUAUCAGAUAUGACAGUGCAAGCAUCUUCUACUCUCAGUCAGUUCAAGGCCGGUUUACCAUCUCCAGAGACAACAGCAGACAGCAGCUGUAUCUGCAGAUGAACAGUCUGAAGACUGAAGAUUCUGCUGUUUAUUAUUGUGCUCGACACCCACAGUGACUGGAGUUGGUUGAGCAGCUGUACAAAAUCCUAUAAUAC